This is a long non-coding RNA of Ictalurus punctatus (channel catfish), 1275 nucleotides long. NCBI's taxonomy places the organism in Eukaryota, Metazoa, Chordata, Actinopteri, Siluriformes, Ictaluridae. The record is from Ensembl.
CCAACCAUAGAGAUCAGGGCGAAAGAAAAACAUAUCACCAAGAUGGAUACAUCACAGAAAGUCUCGACUUAGACAAAUGGACUCUAUGUAAAUCUUUGAAUUGGAUGAGCGCAAGAUGAGCACGAGAAGUGGUAGACUGUAUCCUCCCUAUAGCACGUUCCCAACUCUCUUCACCUGUGUGUUCUCCUAACUCCAUUUCCCACGCACUGUAUCAUCUUAUUCAUUUUCUCAUUCUUUUUUCCGUCGGCCUCUAUUUCUUUCUUGUCUUCCUUUCCUGCUUUCCUCAUUUGUUAUUUAUCCUUCCUUUCUUUUAGCUAGCAGGCUACAUUACUGAUGAGAUUUCAUAUUCCACAUUUUCUUUAUCAUGAACCUUUAUUUGUGAGGAAAAAAUCAGAUUAUUCAGCAUUUCCAGUAAAAGCAGCACUUCAGCGUCCCGCCUGAUGAAACACACAGUGGAAGUUUACACAGAGCUCCUCGUCCCCAGAACUCCUCCAUGCUCCAGAAAACCCAGAGAACAAGAACAGCUAUACAGGUUGACUGCUUUAUCUGUAAAGCUGCAUCAUGAAUCCUGAGAAGCAUCAGCACGUGUACAGCUUCCUGAACUGAUCAGUAGGUUAAUAAUCAUUGACAGCGUUCCCACCACCGCAUGCUGUAAAUACACCAUGAUUGUUCACCUUUGACCUUUUUCACUAAUAAGAAGUCAAAUUUGACAUCGCUAAGAAACAACACUAAGCAGAAUUUUUGUCCUGUAGUAAUUAGUGUUAAAGUUAAUUACACUCAACCUAAAAGAAAAAAUAAUUAGUCCGGUUUUUUAAAUGAAUAAUUAGAGUGUGUUAAGGAGGUGAGUGAUGAUUAAUCAUGUAAAUCUGGAUGGAUAUCGAGUGCUUAAACAGAUGAAAUGGUCCGGUUAAUUGUAUUAGUGAUAUAAACCGGGACAGGAUUAAACUUCCUUGUGAACUUUCUGUAACGGAGUGUGUAUUAACCUCACCUCGUUUCGCCCUCGACAGCAACGACAUCGUCGCUAACGUGAAGUGAUUUCUGCGCUCACGCUCCCUCACACCUGCUACGACUCGCUUAAACACCGCUGUGCUACUUCAACACAGGUGUGACCAGUCGCUUGUAGCAUGUUAACUAGCUGCUUUGCUAAAAUAUUGCUAAUUAUAAUCACACAUUUGCUAAAUGGACCCGUGUUCUGACUAGCUGUUGUUGUUGUUGUUUUUUCAACUAGCUAGCAUGGUCAUUUUUUAGUUAGCUAGUGUGAUCAGUAGCUGAUUU